RNAcentral lists this ribosomal RNA (390 nucleotides) under Eukaryota sp. RNAcentral's name for it is "SSU rRNA". It matches the Rfam family "Eukaryotic small subunit ribosomal RNA", at positions 827 to 1211 of the family's 1831-position model. The record is from RNAcentral.
CGGAUGAUCCGGUUUCGUUGGUUUGGAGGGCCAUCUGUAAUGAUGAAUAGGAACAAUUGGGUGUGUUGAUACUUGCAUGCUAGAGGUGAAAUUCUUAGAUUUUGCAAAGAUCAACUAGUGCGAAGGCAUUCACAAAGGAUGUUUUCAUUGAUCAAGAACGAAAGUCGGGGGUUCGAAGACGAUCAGAUACCGUCGUAGUCUCGACCGUAAACCAUGGUAGCUUGCGGUGCUGCUUGUAUCACAAACAUGAUGGCGAGCGGCGAAGCAUCGGGAAACUAUUAGCGUUUGACCCCCGGGGGGACUACAGUCGCAAGGCUGAAACUUGAAGAAAUUGACGGAAGGGCACCACCAGCGGUGGAGCCUGCGGCUCAAUUUGACUCAACACGGGGA